RNAcentral lists this ribosomal RNA (275 nucleotides) under Bacillus subtilis. RNAcentral's name for it is "partial 23S ribosomal RNA". It matches the Rfam family "Bacterial large subunit ribosomal RNA", at positions 2655 to 2925 of the family's 2925-position model. The record is from RNAcentral. Lineage: Bacteria; Bacillati; Bacillota; Bacilli; Caryophanales; Bacillaceae.
AGGAAAUUUGAGAGGAGCUGUCCUUAGUACGAGAGGACCGGGAUGGACGCACCGCUGGUGUACCAGUUGUUCUGCCAAGGGCAUCGCUGGGUAGCUAUGUGCGGACGGGAUAAGUGCUGAAAGCAUCUAAGCAUGAAGCCCCCCUCAAGAUGAGAUUUCCCAUUCCGCAAGGAAGUAAGAUCCCUGAAAGAUGAUCAGGUUGAUAGGUCUGAGGUGGAAGUGUGGCGACACAUGGAGCUGACAGAUACUAAUCGAUCGAGGACUUAACCACAUUU